Molecule: non-coding RNA, 100 nt
Organism: Mesocricetus auratus (golden hamster)
Lineage: Eukaryota; Metazoa; Chordata; Mammalia; Rodentia; Cricetidae
Source: Rfam
GGCACCUGCUGUGUGAUUAAAAAGUCAUUUAAUACAGGGAAGAUUGGCAUAGCCCCUGCACCAGGAUGACAGGGAAAUUCAUGAAGUGCUCCAUAUUUUU